This 5104-nucleotide long non-coding RNA is filed under the name Macaca fascicularis (crab-eating macaque). Its description in RNAcentral is "lncRNA (ENSMFAG00000054475.1)". The record is from RNAcentral. Lineage: Eukaryota; Metazoa; Chordata; Mammalia; Primates; Cercopithecidae.
UUUUUUUUUUUUUUCCUUUUGGUUCCCUCCUCUUUUCCUUUUCUAUCUCUCUCAAUUUCUCCCCGUCUCUCCCUCUCAAUCUCUGUCCCUCAUAGAUGUUUGAGAGAGUCCAGCCAUUUGGCCAAAUUCUCCCCCCUGCUGUUGGCAGCUGCGUUGUAUCAAAUCUUCAAAUGAAAGCUUCACCUUUGUGAGUCAAAGUCACAAGAGAAAAAUGGUAUGGGGAGCCAUUAUUGCUAUAAAAUCUCUUUCUGCUAACCUUUGAGCCUGAUUAUUCCUGCAUCUGAAGAAGCACAACAAUGUUGCAUCCUUAUUCAUUUGGGCUGUUUAAAAUUCUUGCCUGCUCCAGUAUCUGAAGCUUCAAUUGUUUUGUGCUUAAUGUUGCUCAUUUCAUAUCAAGUUCUUGGUUAUGUGAAAUACUUUAAUUUUUAAAAUGUUAUUAUAUCCUAGCUGUUUAAAAAGAUUGAGAAUGCCAUAAAGAGAGAGACUGGUUUAAGCAAACCAUAACUAGCUUUCAUAAUGCUGUAUGUGGUCAUUAAUCCAUCACUUUUGUGAGGAUGUCUGCAAUUUCUAGUAUACUUAGUGCUUUACAUUUCUUUUCUCAAGCUGACAGCAAUUCUUUUCAUUGGCCAAAGAUGCCACACUUUUACCAGUUAUAUUUAUAAAUACUACUUUAAAAAAUGAGUUCAAAGCAGUAACAUCACUUGAAAAUAGCAGGCAAGAGAAUAAAUUAUGCCAACCACUGUUAACCAGAAAUUCUGUGCCAGAGUCUUAAAAUAUAUUGUCUUCAUUUAGUCAAAUAAUGAUGAGUUGUGGAAGGCUGUGCCUAGAGCCAAUUUAACUGGUGAAUUAAGGUGUCGGCUCUGUCAAAAUUAGUCAACCAUCAUUGAAAAAUACUCAACUACAAACUACUUUAUGACAUGCAUACACUGUUUUUCAUGGGGGUGGGGGCAGUAGGGAGUAGAGAUACAAAAGAGCAUGAAUUAUAAUUCCUAUUCUCUAGAAUCUCAUUGAGGAGAUAAUGACAAAGACUCUCUUCUUUGACCAAACUUUAGUCAGAUUCUUCAGAGCUCCCUUUUUAACUAGACCCAAACUUAGGCUCUGUCCCUGGCUCAUUUAGUCCUGUUUUAGCAAAAAUACUACUGGGUUAGUUUAGUGCAGAUCCCCCACCCUUGAUAUCUGAUCAAAUUCCUUAUUCCCCACCCUGGAUAUCUUAUCAUCUUGGUCUGACUUCAGCAAGAAUCCUGUCAAGUCACUUUAGCUGGAAUGCCCAUAGGCCUGAUGUUUCCUCUUAGUAAUUUUCUAUCAAUCGCCCCACACCCUGGUUCAUGGCUAUAAAUGUCCACUUGGUACUUCUUGUGUUUGGAGUUAAGCUUAAUCUCAGUACCGUACUACAAAAUUCCACUGUAGUAGUCCCUCUGAAUGAAGUCUGCCUUACCAUCUUUAACAAGUGUCAUAAUAAUUUUUUCUUUAACAAUAAGACACACAGAUGUAAAAACAAAACUAUAAUAUAGGGUACUUUUUGCUAAGUGUCAACAGAACUACACAGAGAGUAUAAGUUAUGUAAUUGCGGCAAGCAGAUUACUUCGAAAUGGGGGAUUCGACCAAGCCUUGAUGAGGUAGAUGGGAUCGGAGCUAUGCAUGGUGAAAGCCUGGGUGAAGUUUUCAUGGGUAGAAAGUAAGAGAGAGGUUAUUCCCAAUGGGCAAGUAAACAGCUUAAAUUGAUUUACACAUUGUUUCUUUGGAAAUAUUAUUUCUGAGCUCAAAAUUCUUUAGCAUCUAACUUUAUAAAUGGUUAACAAAAAAAGGACAAAAGAAACAUGCAUAAGGUAGAAGAGGGUAGUCAAUAAUGGACGACCAUUCUAAGAAACAGUCUUUCUGCAGCUUACUCUUAGGCAUGUGGGUAUGAUAUGCUGGGUCAAAGGUGACUCUCAAGGGAUCAGUAAUAAUUAUAACAAAUGUGAUCAGGGUUUGUAUAAGAUCGGUCCUGAUCUUGUAAGGAAUGGUGAGUUGCUCCAAAGAUCUUAAUGUUCUAUUACUAUCUAGAUUUACAUUUUAUAAAAUAUGAAGACAUCCUAGACUGAAAGUAGAUGUCCCACAGUAGUUGCAAGCUAUGACUGUUUCAGUCCAGAGCUGUAUGUAUUCUUUGGGGACUUUUCCUAGGCCAGUGUCCACAUCUUCUGUAUUAGUUUCCUAGGUCUGCCGUAAUAAAUUACGACAGACUGGGUGACUUACAACAACCGAAAUGUAUUCUCUUGCAGCUCUGGAUACAAGAAUUCUGAAGUUAGAGUACAGGUAGGGUUGGUUCUUUUGAAGGUUCCGAUGGAGAAUUUGUUGCACUUCUCUCUCCUAGCUUUUUACAGUAGCCAUCAAUCCUUGGGAUUCCUUGGCAGCCACAUCACUCCAAUCUAUGCUUCCACAGUUACGUGGCAUUCUCCCUGUGUAUCUUUGUGUUCCACAUGGCCUACUUAUAAGGACACCAGUCAUUGGAUUUAGGGUGCACCCUAAUCCAGUAUGACCAUAUAUUAACUUGAUUACAUUUUCAAAGCCUCCAAUCACAAACAAGGUCCUAUUCACAAAUACUGGGGAUUAGGACUUAAACAUACCUUUUUGGGUGACAAUUCAACCCAUAACUCUUUCAUAGCCUAUUAUUAAAGUACUGUUUUCCUAAAUGGGGUUACAUAAUUCCAUCCCAAUGAUUCAUUUCCCAGAAUGUUUUUUUCCUUUUGAAACAAGCAAGUUCAUAUAAUAUCUACACCUAAUAAUCUGACUUUCAACUAAAAUGGGAUGUCUAAUUUCUAAUCGAGUUUAGUACAUAUUAGAGCUGUCUUCAAAAUCUACUUCACAUAGUGAAAGCAAGGUAGUACAGUCAAAGUUACAUUAGGCCCUGUGGGGAGAUUAAAAAAAUGAUAAAAAAAAAUUGGCUCCUACUCUCAUAUAGUUUACAGCCUUGAGAUUUCACAGCAUAGAAUGUUCGCAAUGGAAGGGAUCAUAAAGAUCAUCUAUUCUAAACCAUUCAUUUUACAGAUGAGGUCUUUGAGGCCCAGUGAGGUUAACUAAUUUGCCCAGGGCUCACAAAGUUAAUUGGGGAAAUAGAACAUGCAAGGGAAACAAAUGAAGGGCACAAUUUUAAAGAAAUCCAGCUACUCUUCUGCUUUUGUGUAUGAGGUACACAGUGAAUGCCGAUGAUGUGACAUAGAGAUUAGAUCGAAGUCUGGCAGUCAAGAGCAAUUUCUGGAGUAGGUGCCAAGGCUCUUCAUCUCUUUUGCUGUCAUCUCUGUAGCCUCUCAGAAAGCAAAAUAACUUCCUGACCUGACCUUUCUUUUCCUGGGGCAUGGGCUUAACUCAAGUUUCAGUUGUCUGGGGAAGCAACACCUUUAGAGUAGAAAGCACAAGGUUGUGCUGCUCUGCCUCUUGUAAUUCUCUGAUGAAGAUAAACUAAUGGUGGAGAAGUAGCCCCCAGGGUGGGUGGGGUCUGGAAGAAAGGAUUCAGGAGUUAUAGAUUUGCUAUAGAUAAGAGAACUGUGAUGCACAGUUCACUCUUUCCGGUUUCAAAAAGGAAAUAUGUAGUAUAACCGAUUUUGAAGGGGGAAAAAAAAGGGUAAAUUGCCUACUUCAAAGACAACCAAUUGCUGGAAUAGCUUUCAAGUCAGUUUGUAAGUCAAAGCUCUUCUUUCCUUUCUCCUUUCACAGAAAAUGUUUGAAAUAUCGAAAAAAUAAAAAAUAAAACACAAAAAACAAACAAACAAAAAAACCAAAAAACUACCAUUAAUGGAAUUAAAAACAACCAACCACUGGAGUUAAAGAACAAUGAGGUACCAUGGCCUUCUAUCAUAACCUAACUAAAGAUUUCAUAGAACAACAAAGAAACUGAAAAAAAUGGUAAGAAAUUAUAGGAAGAAACCAAGACUUUGCAUAUCUGUUUAUUUUUCAACUGGCAUUGAAUCAUCAUCAACUGAGCCUACUUUCUCUGAAUUAAUGGAACUAACAUUUAAUCUGACUUGCCUAAUAUGGGGAUAGGCUUACUUCUUUCUUAUAAAGUGUACAAGAUUUAAAAUUAAAGUAGAAAAGCAUCACUUUCCAAGCCUACUAUUUUGGGAUGCAGUGAACAAUUAACUAUGUUUCUACCAAUUUAUUCAAAAUUUCAUUCAAAAUAUUCUUUACAUAAUUACAUUUCUUAGAGCUAACUGUUUAAGAACUGCAAUUUCAAAUUAGGUGAUUUCAAGUACACCUAGAUGUGAAUUAACACAAAUUUUAGCAUCAUCAGCUUGAAAACAGAGCUUCAAAGAGACCAAGUAACAUGUUAUAGAUUAACAUAAACAAAUUUACAUAAUCAGAGAUUCAAAGACAUAGUAGAAUGUCACAUGUUCUUUGGAGUUUUGAAAAAGAAUAAAAUUUGACACAUAAUGCAUUAUAAGGAUCACCUCCGUGGAUGUCUAAGUAUGGAACAGAAUUUUUGGCUUUACUAGCAAGAAGAAUUACAAAUUGAAUGUGUUGAGUGUAUGCAUAUCACGCUUCUAUGGGGAUGAUUACACAAUUGUGACAAUAGCAAAAAACUAACUCUCAUGAAAUGAUCCUCCUUAUAAGAAACUUACAAUGCAAGCUAACUUUGGAAAACUCCGCAAAUGAAUUAGUAACUAGAAGAGUCACUCUUCCACUUAUUACUGACUUAUGCCUAGAGAGCUGAGUUUUUUGUCAUUUAUGAUACAGCUGAGAAGAAGAGCUCUUUAGUGUUUUUUUCAUUAGAAACUUCAUGAAGAUCUGUAAUUGGACAAGUACCCAUUACCUAGGCAUUAAAUCUAAAUUCUUUAGUAGUCCCCACACUUUACUUCAUUAGUCAAACACACACACACAAAUCAAUGCAAGAUUUCAAUAAGAAAUUUAUAGGGAAAUAUAAUUUCACAUGAUAGUUCGUCUCACUAUACUUCAAUUUAGUAAUUAUUUGAUUUACCUUCUGAAAACUGUAGAGCUGAUUCACGUGUAUAACUUUUUCUUUCUAAUACAAUAGACUAUUUAAACUAAAAAGGAUAUGUGUGUGUGUAUAUAUGUAUACACACACACACACACACACAUAUAUUUUUUUAGACGGAGUCUUGCUCUGUUACCC